Long non-coding RNA from Vigna radiata var. radiata (mung bean), 1041 nucleotides. RefSeq lists it as uncharacterized. NCBI's taxonomy places the organism in Eukaryota, Viridiplantae, Streptophyta, Magnoliopsida, Fabales, Fabaceae. The transcript has 3 exons. The record is from RefSeq and is a predicted model, not a curated record.
UGGCCAAUGGUUAUUGGCAAGUUCUCCGACUUUAUGAAAUUAGAACAUGGUUUCCCUCUCCUGCAUUUUCGUUUUCCUCCAAAAGAACCCUCCCACAACUCCCAAUCUGAAACCCCCAGGUGGUGGCGUAACGGUGGACGCUUGUGGCUGGUGGCGAUGCAGCGGCGUGACGGUGGCAGUAACGGUGGUUCGAGGCAAGUUGCGCGACCUUGCUCCAAAUUUGCACGACGCAGUGGUGGUGCCAGCUUCACGGUGGUGGUGUGAGGCUUCAUGGUAGUGGCACGAGGGUGGCUUCGCGGUGGCGCGAAGGUGUUGUAAGGCUGCUUGUGAUUUGCAUGACGGUGGUGGCGUGAGCGCGAUGAUGAUGGCGCAAGGUUGGUGCGAAGGUGGCCACCGCGUCACGGUGGCUGCUAGUGGUGGAGGAUUCCUUGUUGCUGGUUGUCGGUGGCAGACACAUCACAAUGCUUGCUCGUGGUGGAGGAUUCAUGACUGUUGGGUGACGGUGGUCGCUGCAUAACGGUGGAGGUAUAGCAGAAGUUUGUGCAUGCUACCACUUCGUCGAGGGAGAACUGUUAGUUGCCUCACAUACCAUCGAGGUGCUUACAGUAGUUGGAAGAAACCUAUGUAUCAAAUGAAGGCACUGGAACCCAAAGAAAGCAAGAAAAACAGCAAAAAAAGUGAAUUCUGGAAUGUUGUCGCUGAGUUGCCGCCGGGCUACCGCUUGAGCUCUCUACUCUCUGGAAGCCUGUCGUUGAGCUGUCGCUGGGCUAUCGCCUGAGCUCUCUACUCUCUGGAAGGCUGCCGUUGGGCUACCGCCUGAGCGGUGGCGUCGCUGAUGUGGCAAAAUCUGAGUUAUUUAGGGCUGAAAAGUGAGGGCUUGGUAUCUUUUGCUACCCAGACGCAUUUUCUCUGCUUGGGAGCUCUUGGAGGCGAGCUAGGAGGACUGAGAACAAUCCAUCUUCUUCCUUGGAUUCUCUUCUUUCUUCCAUUUCCACCAUUGUUGUAGGCUUGAGCUCUCCAUUCAUGGAGAGCUAGUUUCAU